GACGAACGCUGGCGGCGUGCUUAACACAUGCAAGUCGAACGGAAAGGCCCUGCUUUUGUGGGGUGCUCGAGUGGCGAACGGGUGAGUAACACGUGAGUAACCUGCCCUUGACUUUGGGAUAACUUCAGGAAACUGGGGCUAAUACCGGAUAGGAGCUCCUGCUGCAUGGUGGGGGUUGGAAAGUUUCGGCGGUUGGGGAUGGACUCGCGGCUUAUCAGCUUGUUGGUGGGGUAGUGGCUUACCAAGGCUUUGACGGGUAGCCGGCCUGAGAGGGUGACCGGCCAAAUUGGGACUGAGAUACGGCCCAGACUCCUACGGGAGGCAGCAGGGGGGAAUAUUGCACAAUGGGCGGAAGCCUGAUGCAGGAAAGCCGCGUGCGGGAUGACGGCCUUCGGGUUGGAAACCGCUUUCGCCUGUGACGAAGCGUGAGUGACGGUAAUGGGUAAAGAAGCAACGGCUAACUACGUG
RNAcentral lists this ribosomal RNA (468 nucleotides) under uncultured bacterium. RNAcentral's name for it is "partial 16S ribosomal RNA". It matches the Rfam family "Bacterial small subunit ribosomal RNA", at positions 28 to 507 of the family's 1533-position model. The record is from RNAcentral.